Molecule: non-coding RNA, 61 nt
Organism: Actinoalloteichus sp. GBA129-24
Lineage: Bacteria; Bacillati; Actinomycetota; Actinomycetes; Pseudonocardiales; Pseudonocardiaceae
Source: Rfam
GCCGGUCCUCGGUAGUGGUUCUCGGGACACACGGUCCCGUGGACUUCGAUCGAUGACCGGC